Molecule: ribosomal RNA, 253 nt
Filed under: uncultured bacterium
Lineage: Bacteria
Description: partial 16S ribosomal RNA
Rfam family: Bacterial small subunit ribosomal RNA
Source: RNAcentral
UACGGGGGGGGCAAGCGUUGUUCGGAAUUACUGGGCGUAAAGGGCGCGUAGGCGGCCAACUAAGUCAAACGUGAAGUCCCUCGGCUUAACCGGGGAACUGCGUCUGAUACUGGAUGGCUUGAGUUUGGGAGAGGGAUGCGGAAUUCCAGGUGUAGCGGUGAAAUGCGUAGAUAUCUGGAGGAACACCGGUGGCGAAGGCGGCAUCCUGGACCAACACUGACGCUGAGGAGCGAAAGCCAGGGGAGCAAACGGG